This is a long non-coding RNA of Limulus polyphemus (Atlantic horseshoe crab), 105 nucleotides long. RefSeq lists it as uncharacterized. Lineage: Eukaryota; Metazoa; Arthropoda; Merostomata; Xiphosura; Limulidae. The record is from RefSeq and is a predicted model, not a curated record. The transcript is spliced from 3 exons.
UCACUAUCUGUUAACACGGGGACCGAUUUUUCGCGCUAUUUUUGCUCCAUGACUCAGUCAAAAAUGAACGGAUUUUGAAUAAACAUGAAACUUCUGAGAUUUUUG